CGGCACGCCUAAACAUGCAAGUCGAACGAAGUAGCAAUACUUAGUGGCAGACGGGUGAGUAACAUGUGGGUAUCUACCCUUUGGCCUGGAAUAACACGAGGAAACUUGUGCUAAUACCGGAUAAGUCUUUACGGAGAAAGCUUUAUGCACCAUUGGAUGAGCCUGCACUUGAUUAGUUUGUUGGUAGGGUAAUGGCCUACCAAGACUAUGAUCAAUAGCUGAUUUGAGAGGAUGAUCAGCCACAUUGGGACUGAGACACGGCCCAAACUCCUACGGGAGGCAGCAGUGGGGAAUCUUGCACAAUGGAGGAAACUCUGAUGCAGCGAUGCCGCGUGAGUGAAGAAGGCCCUUGGGUUGUAAAGCUCUUUCGUCGGGGAAGAAAAUGACUGUACCCGAAUAAGAAG
Molecule: ribosomal RNA, 404 nt
Filed under: uncultured Pseudomonadota bacterium
Lineage: Bacteria; Pseudomonadati; Pseudomonadota
Description: bacterial SSU rRNA
Rfam family: Bacterial small subunit ribosomal RNA
Source: RNAcentral